Molecule: non-coding RNA, 2044 nt
Organism: Pelodiscus sinensis (Chinese soft-shelled turtle)
Lineage: Eukaryota; Metazoa; Chordata; Testudines; Trionychidae
Source: RefSeq, a predicted model, not a curated record
AUGACAAAUGGCUACUAAAGAACGUGGACGCAAUGCUAUGUAAAACAGCUUGAGAUAACCAUGGGUAUGAAUAGGCAGAGCUAUUGCACCACCUAGUGGUGUCCAAUGGUAGAACCUUCUAGCAGUGUCCAGUGUUUUAGCACCUCCUCCUCCCCUUGACCUUAAUGUUCUGAAAGACAAGAGCACAGCAACUUCUACCAUCAGUUUCUUCCACCACAAACCAGAUAUGCAGAAUAAACUAAGAGGAGCAGGCAGUGUGAAUAUGCAAAGUAUCAUUAAGCACUCCAGUUACGUAUAAGUAAUCUUCCUUUUUUCAACUGGCUCUGUAUUUAGGAUGUAAAAUCCUGGUUAGGUGGUUAAUGGGCUAAACAAAGUGUUUAACUGGUUAACUGUGGGGAGGCUGUCCCCCAUCUGUGACGUGGUUAGCCCAGCCAAGUUGGAGCAACCCUCAACCAAUGGCAGGGAUGUGGGCAGGGGGCUGCUCUGGCCAGAUCAGGUCAAGCCCACUGCACCACACUGUAUGCUGAGGAGCUGCUCCAGCUGGAGCAGCCCUCCCCCUGCCCCUGAGUUAACAGGUUAUCAGUAUGCUUACCUGGCUAAGAGGCAUGAUUACCAGUUAACUCUUUACAUCCCUACUCUGAAUAUUCCAAUUUAUGGGAUAGAUUGAUAGGCAGGGCUGAAAAUAACGUGGAGACAGGAACAGUGUCCUUAUAAAAUGGCAACUGAAGCACUGCUCGACCAAAUCUACCAUCAGUUUGGGAAACAAAAUCAAGAGCAUAAUGCUUAGUGUAAGUGUAUACAAAAUUCCAGAUCAGUCCUGAAGAUAGCAGAAGCAAACAAAAGCAGCUGUCACAGCUCUGGCAGAAUGUGAUUGUAUGUUUUUUAAUGCCUCUAUAGUCUAGGAAGAUGACACAACCCAUGUGAUUCUCAGUGUACGAUACAAAAAAACAUUUUAAAUCAGUUUAAAUAAUAUGCAAGAGUUCUUACAUCCAAAGUAUAUAAAACAGAUUCCCCCUUAUUCAUAUGUGGCUUUGGGGGGAAAUGCCUGCAUAUUAAUUAAUUGACAGGACAGCAAUACUAACUACUGUUAAUGAUUAGUUAUUGUUAAACUAACAAAGCAAGGGAUAAAUGACACUUGCAAUGCAAGAGAGCCAAAGUUCCAAAAGUUGUCUUUGUUGGUAAGAAGGAAUUGAGGGACAGUUGGAUUGGCAGGGUCACAUGUAGGGGGUCACACCACUGCCUCUCGAGGAGGCUCCAUGGCUGACCCUAUGGGUAGCAGCUAGGGUAAACAUUUUCUGGCAGCUGUGCACACCUCAUCUGGAAUACAUAUGAGCAAACAUUCGAAGAAGAAAAAAAAAAAAGUAGUUCUUAUGCGUGAACUGAUUUUUGCCAAAAGUGGCACCUGACUUUUCAGUCAAUCAAUUAUUUGACAGGAUGGACAUUAAAUUAUUUGUGCUAGAUGGACCUUUGGUCUGACCCCGUAUGGCUGUUUGACUGUACCUAUGUCAUACCCAUCCUCAUUCUCUACUGUCAGAGUAGUCAACAACAUGGAACUGCAGGGCAGUUGGGUCGUCAGGAUCAUAUAUUGGGCACCGCACUGGCGCCACUCCAGGGAGCUCCACAGCCAACCAAGAGGCAGCUAGCAUAAAAGCUUUCUGGCGGCCAGGCAGGCAGCACACAUGCACCUCAACUGGAAUAGAACUGAGCAGUGCAUCUCAAACAACGGUAACAAAGGUAACCAUUUAAUCUUUAUGAAAACAAGUACACGAAUCAGCCAUCAAGGCAUUCAAUUCACUCACCCUUCUAGCUGACAUUGAUGAUAACAAAUGAGCUCUUAACAGAUAAAUAAUAUAAUGAACACUCAACUAAAGAUUUAUAGGAUGACUUUUUAAGUGUACCCAAGACCAAACUGAAAUUUCAAGAUGGAACACGUUGGAGGGACACGUUAUGUGAACAGAGGCCUGCAAAUCCUCAGUGGGUCUCUGCGUCCGCGAAUGUGGAUGCGGAUAUCUGCAGCUCAUUUUUGCGGAUACUGAUAUGGAUA